GGCUUAGAAGCAGCCACUCAUUAAAAGAGUGCGUAAUAGCUCACUGGUCGAGUGAUUCUGCGCCGAAAAUUUAACGGGGCUAAACUAUACACCGAAGCUUAGGAUACCGCAAGGUAUGGUAGGAGAGCGUUCUGUACGGAGUGAAGUCGUAGCGAAAGCGGCGGUGGACUGUACAGAAGUGAGAAUGCCGGAAUAAGUAGCGAGAAUUAAGUGAGAAUCUUAAUGGCCGAAAGUCUAAGGUUUUUGGAGGAAGGUUCGUCCGCUCCAAGUAAGUCGGGAGCUAAGGUCAGGCCGAAAGGCGUAGCCGAUGCACAAACGGUUGAUAUUCCGUUACCGUCUAUAAUUUAAACAAAGGGACACAUACAAAGCGUUUAACCCGGGCGAUGGUUGACCCGGGCGCAAGGGACUGAAAUUAGAGUAGGGAAGUAAAUGUGGCGUAUGGCGAGAAAAGCUUUGUGUAUAGAAGUAGACGCCCGUACCGCAAACCGACACAGGUGGACAGGAAGAGAAUUCUAAGGCCAGCGGGAGAAGGGUAGUUAAGGAACUCGGCAAAUUGACUCCGUAACUUCGGAAUAAGGAGUGCUCGAAAGAGCCGCAGAGAAUAGGCCCAGGCGACUGUUUAGCAAAAACACAGGUCUCUGCCAAAUCGAAAGAUGAAGUAUAGGGGCUGACACCUGCCCGGUGCCGGAAGGUUAAGAGGAGGAGUGCAAGCUCCGAAUUGAAGCCCCGGUAAACGGCGGCCGUAACUAUAACGGUCCUAAGGUAGCGAAAUUCCUUGUCGGGUAAGUUCCGACCCGCACGAAUGGUGUAACGAUCUGGGCACUGUCUCAACUACCCACCCGGCGAAAUUGUAGUACCGGUGAAGAUGCCGGUUACCUGCGGCAAGACGGAAAGACCCCAUGGAGCUUUACUGUAGCCUGAUAUUGGGUUUCGGAAAUCUAUGUACAGGAUAGGCGGGAGACUGGGAAGUAUGAGCGUCAGCUUAUACGGAGUCAUUGUUGGGAUACCGCCCUUAGGUUUCUGGAAUUCUAACCUGCGACCGUGAAUCCGGUCGGGGGACAUUGUCAGGUGGGCAGUUUGACUGGGGCGGUCGCCUCCGAAAAGGUAACGGAGGCGCUCAAAGGUUGGCUCAGCACGGACGGAAACCGUGCCUCAGAGUGUAAACGCAAAAGCCAGCCUAACUGCGAGGAUGACGGUCCGAGCAGUAACGAAAGUUGGAGUUAGUGAUCCGGCGGUAUGUGAAUGGAAAUGCCGUCGCUCAACGGAUAAAAGCUACCCUGGGGAUAACAGGCUGAUCUCCCCCAAGAGUCCACAUCGACGGGGAGGUUUGGCACCUCGAUGUCGGCUCAUCACAUCCUGGGGCUGUAUUCGGUCCCAAGGGUUCGGCUGUUCGCCGAUUAAAGUGGUACGCGAGCUGGGUUCAGAACGUCGCGAGACAGUUCGGUCCCUAUCUGUCGUGGGCGCAGGAUAUUUGAGGAGCUCUGUCCUUAGUACGAGAGGACCGGGAUGGACGUACCUCUGGUGCACCAGUUGUCAUGCCAAUGGCACGGCUGGGCAGCUACGUACGGAACGGAUAAACGCUGAAAGCAUCUAAGCGUGAAGCCGACUCCAAGAUUAGAUAUCCCAUUGCAUAAGCAAGUAAGACCCCUUGAGGACUACGAGGUUGAUAGGCUGCGUGUGUAAGUGUCGUGAGGCAUUUAGCUUGGCAGUACUAAUAGGUCGAGGGCUUGACCA
This 1734-nucleotide ribosomal RNA is filed under the name human gut metagenome. Its description in RNAcentral is "bacterial LSU rRNA". It matches the Rfam family "Bacterial large subunit ribosomal RNA", at positions 1103 to 2925 of the family's 2925-position model. The record is from RNAcentral.